GACGAACGCUGGCGGCGCGCCUAACACAUGCAAGUCGAGCGGAGAUAUUUGAAGGAAGUUUUCGGAUGGAAUUUGGGUAUUUUAGCGGCGGACGGGUGAGUAACGCGUGAGUGACCUGCCUUCCACAGGGGGAUAACGUACCGAAAGGUACACUAAUACCGCAUGAGACCACAGCACUGCCUGGUGCAGGGGUCAAAGGAGCAAUCCGGUGGAAGAUGGACUCGCGUCCGAUUAGAUAGUUGGUGGGGUAACGGCCUACCAAGUCAGCGAUCGGUAGCCGACCUGAGAGGGUGAUCGGCCACAUUGGAACUGAGAGACGGUCCAAACUCCUACGGGAGGCAGCAGUGGGGAAUAUUGGGCAAUGGGGGAAACCCUGACCCAGCGACGCCGCGUGAGGGAAGAAGGUUUUCGGAUUGUAAACCUCUGUUCUUAGUGAAGAGGGAAAGACGGUAGCCAAGGAGGAAGCCCUGGCUAACUACGUGCCAGCCGCCGCGGUAA
RNAcentral lists this ribosomal RNA (498 nucleotides) under uncultured bacterium. Its description in RNAcentral is "partial 16S ribosomal RNA". It matches the Rfam family "Bacterial small subunit ribosomal RNA", at positions 28 to 523 of the family's 1533-position model. The record is from RNAcentral.